RNAcentral lists this ribosomal RNA (416 nucleotides) under uncultured bacterium. Its description in RNAcentral is "bacterial SSU rRNA". It matches the Rfam family "Bacterial small subunit ribosomal RNA", at positions 355 to 774 of the family's 1533-position model. RNAcentral also lists the same sequence under 1 other name. The record is from RNAcentral.
UGGGGAAUAUUGCGCAAUGGGCGAAAGCCUGACGCAGCGACGCCGCGUGUGGGAUGACGGCCUUCGGGUUGUAAACCACUGUCGGGAGGGACGAAUGCCCCGCAAGGGGAGUGACGGUACCUCCAAAGGAAGCACCGGCUAACUCCGUGCCAGCAGCCGCGGUAAUACGGAGGGUGCAAGCGUUGUCCGGAAUCACUGGGCGUAAAGGGCGCGUAGGCGGCUCGGUAAGUAGGGGGUGAAAUCCUGCGGCUUAACCGCAGGGCUGCCUUCUAAACUGUCGAGCUUGAGCACGGUAGAGGCAGAUGGAAUUCCCGGUGUAGCGGUGGAAUGCGUAGAGAUCGGGAAGAACAUCAGUGGCGAAGGCGGUCUGCUGGGCCGUUGCUGACGCUGAGGCGCGACAGCGUGGGGAGCAAACA